UACGGAGGAGGCAAGCGUUAUCCGGAAUUAUUGGGCGUAAAGCGUCCGUAGGUGGCGUGUCAAGUCUGCGGUCAAAGACUGGGGCUUAACCCUGGAAAGGCCGUGGAAACUGACGAGCUAGAGUGCAGUAGGGGUAGAGGGAAUUCCCGGUGUAGCGGUGAAAUGCGUAGAGAUCGGGAAGAACAUCGGUGGCGAAAGCGGGUUGCUGGGCUGACACUGACGCUGAGGCGCGAAAGCCAGGGGAGCGAACGGG
This 253-nucleotide ribosomal RNA is filed under the name uncultured bacterium. Its description in RNAcentral is "partial 16S ribosomal RNA". It matches the Rfam family "Bacterial small subunit ribosomal RNA", at positions 524 to 776 of the family's 1533-position model. The record is from RNAcentral.